This 323-nucleotide unclassified non-coding RNA is filed under the name soil metagenome. RNAcentral's name for it is "partial contains 5.8S ribosomal RNA, internal transcribed spacer 2, and large subunit ribosomal RNA". The stretch from base 1 to 120 matches the Rfam family "5.8S ribosomal RNA", at positions 35 to 154 of the family's 154-position model. The record is from RNAcentral.
GAUGAAGAACGUAGCGAAAUGCGAUAAGUAAUGUGAAUUGCAGAAUUCAGUGAAUCAUCGAAUCUUUGAACGCACAUUGCGCCCUGUGGUAUUCCGCAGGGCAUGCCUGUUCGAGCGUCAUUUCAACCCUCAAGCUCUGCUUGGUGUUGGGCCCUGCCCGCUGCGGCCGGCCCUAAAGACAGUGGCGGUGCCGCCUGGCCCUGAGCGUAGUACAUCUCUCGCUCCAGUGCCCGGUGGUAGCCUGCCAGAACCCCAACUCUCGUGGUUGACCUCGGAUCAGGUAGGGAUACCCGCUGAACUUAAGCAUAUCAAUAAGCGGAGGA